Molecule: ribosomal RNA, 586 nt
Filed under: uncultured bacterium
Lineage: Bacteria
Description: partial 16S ribosomal RNA
Rfam family: Bacterial small subunit ribosomal RNA
Source: RNAcentral
UGGGGAAUAUUGGACAAUGGGCGCAAGCCUGAUCCAGCAAUGCCGCGUGUGUGAAGAAGGCCUUCGGGUUGUAAAGCACUUUUAUCAGGAGCGAAACGCUGUCGGCUAAUACCCGGCGGAACUGACGGUACCUGAGGAAUAAGCACCGGCUAACUUCGUGCCAGCAGCCGCGGUAAUACGAAGGGUGCAAGCGUUAAUCGGAAUUACUGGGCGUAAAGCGUGCGUAGGCGGUUUCUUAAGUCUGCUGUGAAAUCCCCGGGCUCAACCUGGGAAUGGCAGUGGAUACUGGGAGGCUAGAGUGUGUCAGAGGGUGGUGGAAUUCCCGGUGUAGCGGUGAAAUGCGUAGAGAUCGGGAGGAGCAUCAGUGGCGAAGGCGGCCACCUGGGACAACACUGACGCUGAGGCACGAAAGCGUGGGGAGCAAACAGGAUUAGAUACCCUGGUAGUCCACGCCCUAAAGCGAUGCGAACUGGAUGUUGGUCUCAACUCGGAGAUCAGUGUCGAAGCUAACGCGUUAAGUUCGCCGCCUGGGGAGUACGGUCGCAAGACUGAAACUCAAAUGAAUUGACGGGGUCAUAGCUGUUCC